AACCUAGCACACCUGCGGUGUGUACCUGCGGAGGGAUCAUUACCGAGUUUACAACUCCCAAACCCCUGUGAACAUACCUAUACGUUGCCUCGGCGGAUCAGCCCGCGCCCCGUAAAAAGGGACGGCCCGCCCGAGGACCCCUAAACUCUGUUUUUAGUGGAACUUCUGAGUAAAACAAACAAAUAAAUCAAAACUUUUAACAACGGAUCU
RNAcentral lists this unclassified non-coding RNA (210 nucleotides) under soil metagenome. RNAcentral describes it as "partial contains 5.8S ribosomal RNA, internal transcribed spacer 2, and large subunit ribosomal RNA". The record is from RNAcentral.